UUAGUGGCGCACGGGUGAGUAACGCGUGGGAACGUACCCUUUGGUUCGGGAUAACGUCUGGAAACGGACGCUAAUACCGGAUGAGCCCUUCGGGGGAAAGAUUUAUCGCCAAAGGAGCGGCCCGCGUCUGAUUAGCUAGUUGGUGGGGUAAUGGCCCACCAAGGCGACGAUCAGUAGCUGGUCUGAGAGGAUGAUCAGCCACACUGGGACUGAGACACGGCCCAGACUCCUACGGGAGGCAGCAGUGGGGAAUAUUGGACAAUGGGGGCAACCCUGAUCCAGCCAUGCCGCGUGAGUGAUGAAGGCCUUCGGGUUGUAAAGCUCUUUCGCACGCGACGAUGAUGACGGUAGCGUGAGAAGAAGCCCCGGCUAACUUCGUGCCAGCAGCCGCGGUAAUACGAAGGGGGCUAGCGUUGUUCGGAAUUACUGGGCGUAAAGGGCGCGUAGGCGGCGCAUCAAGUCAGAUGUGAAAGCCCCGGGCUUAACCUGGGAACAGCAUU
This 500-nucleotide ribosomal RNA is filed under the name bacterium EP1.18. Its description in RNAcentral is "bacterial SSU rRNA". It matches the Rfam family "Bacterial small subunit ribosomal RNA", at positions 92 to 627 of the family's 1533-position model. The record is from RNAcentral.